RNAcentral lists this ribosomal RNA (404 nucleotides) under uncultured bacterium. RNAcentral's name for it is "bacterial SSU rRNA". It matches the Rfam family "Bacterial small subunit ribosomal RNA", at positions 355 to 776 of the family's 1533-position model. The record is from RNAcentral.
UGGGGAAUAUUGGACAAUGGGCGAAAGCCUGAUCCAGCAAUGCCGCGUGGGUGAAGAAGGCCUUCGGGUUGUAAAGCCCUUUCAGUAAGGAAGAUUAUGACUGUACUUACAGAAGAAGCCCCGGCUAACUCCGUGCCAGCAGCCGCGGUAAGACGGAGGGGGCUAGCGUUGUUCGGAAUUAUUGGGCGUAAAGAGUAUGUAGGCGGUUUGAUAAGUUGGAAGUGAAAGCCCAGAGCUCAACUCUGGAAUUGCUUUCAAAACUAUUGGACUAGAGUGAGGUAGAGGGUGAUGGAAUUCCUAGUGUAGAGGUUAAAUUCUUAGAUAUUAGGAGGAACACCGAAUGCGAAAGCGGUCACCUGGGCCUAUACUGACGCUGAGAUACGAAAGCGUGGGGAGCAAACAGG